This 252-nucleotide ribosomal RNA is filed under the name uncultured bacterium. Its description in RNAcentral is "partial 16S ribosomal RNA". It matches the Rfam family "Bacterial small subunit ribosomal RNA", at positions 524 to 776 of the family's 1533-position model. The record is from RNAcentral.
UACGGAGGAUGCGAGCGUUAUCCGGAUUUAUUGGGUUUAAAGGGUGCGUAGGCGGGCUUUUAAGUCAGCGGUAAAGAUUCGGGGCUCAACCCCGUCCGGCCGUUGAAACUGGGGGUCUUGAGUGGGCGAGAAGAAGGCGGAAUGCGUGGUGUAGCGGUGAAAUGCAUAGAUAUCACGCAGAACCCCGAUUGCGAAGGCAGCCUUCCGGCGCCCUACUGACGCUGAGGCACGAAAGUGCGGGGAUCGAACAGG